ACAGCACUUAUAUUUAUAUUUAAAUUCGUAUUUAUAUAUUCAUGAAUGGAGGAAGCAGGCUAAUUAAGGGAAAUCUCUUGUCCAUGACACGAAAGAGUCCCCUUCCACGAAUUAUACACUAUGCUAACUCUGUGUGGCUGUGCUCGCCUUUUUUACUUCAUUCUCUUUCUAUUCUCGUUUAAGUGUUAAAUGUCCAGCAAUUUAGCCCUGGGAAGACCAUCUCAGCUGUUCAGGACUUAAGCAGCAACUAAUUAAUUAACGAUAUAAUUUUAAUCAGUACCUUAACGUCUUCACUAUGGUAACCAAUACGCAACAACAACAUGGCCCGUAACGGAAGUUAACUGUUAGCUUAACGUUAAGCUCUACUAGCUUUGGUAGUAAGCUAGCAAGCUUCACUGUCCGUUAGCUGCGUUUUUAGUAGUUAGAGAAGGUACCGGACUAAACCAUGCAGCAUCUGGUACGUAACAUUACUUUAUUUAAGCUUAUUGUAGCAAAGUUGACACCAGUAAAAGAAGUUAAUCGUUAGCUUAAAAACGCCAAAGUAAUUAGGCAUGACUAAAUUUAGUGGUAACUUGCAAGAUUCAACCUACAUUUGCGGCCUUUUUAAAUAUCUUAUUCUCGUUUUACACAUGCUAACUGUUAGAGAAGAUACUGGACUCAACCAUGCAGCCUGUGUGCGGAGGCUGCUGAUUCUUUGCAAGAGUGUGGUACACGGCUGGGUCGUGGUCUGGGGAGCUGCCAGUGUAGAGCCACCGCUACUUAGUAGAGUUACCAGAGGCCCAAGCAGUGAGGCUACAACCGACCAGCCUGUGACCACGCAGGAAGACGAAGUUGAGCACACCCAGCUACGACGAACUGCAAGGGAAUGGGAACAACUUUUGUGAGUGACUUUGGAAGGGCAGUGUAUAAAAGAUUGUGAGGUUGUUCAAAAGAGAAAACUUGCUUGUGGAUAAUACUGGACACACAUGAAGAACAUUUCUCUGCUCAUCUUUCAAAACACUGUACCUGAUUCUGGGACUGCUUGGGAACCUGGAUCUGAAAAGUUAUGCAUUUUUGCAGAGCAAGCCCAACAAUGCCAUGUGAUUGUCCUGUUGUCUCUGUCCAUGGUCCUGAAACAACUACUGCAACUGGAAACUUAUUUUUCUUUUUUUGCCAUAUUUUUGUGAAUUUGUGACAUGGCUACUACUACUACUAUUACUACUGCUCCUGCUGCUGCUACUACUACUAAUAAUAUAUUAAUGUAAUAAUUUAAUUGUCCCUUCAGUGAGGUAUUAUGCGUGAAUAUUUUAUAACAAAACAUGAGGCCUUCAAAUUAUCUAAAAGCAUAUAUUUACAGCUUUUUAUUAUACAUAAUGUCUUCUGAAUAACAUUUUUUAGCAACAUACAUUUUAACAAAUUCUGUUUGAGUUGAUUUCAUCCAUAGAUUCAUAGAUGUGUAGAUUUCCAUAUUUAUUCCAUGAUAAUAUGGGUUUUAAUAAAUCAGUCUUGUCAACAUUAGAGACACAUUGUCUGUAUUUGUUGUUGUUUGUAUUUGUGUGGGGUAUAAUGAUUUAAGUUUUGUAUGCACAUUUAGUUGUGUGAUUGAAGUAAGUAUUCAUUAAUAUGUAUUUCCUUAGUUGUAUUAGUUUUCCUACUAUACAUCUAGUCUACUUUUAUGGGAUUAAUUUUUUUUUUGUCUGUGGUCUCUCACCAAAUUGCUAAACAUGCUUAAUAAUAAUAAUAGUUUGUCAGUGGUGCAUAAAGGUGUAUUUCUAUCAUCAGGUUGUUAUCUGGAAGUGACGUUGGACAUACCAUCAAUAAAAUAAUAUAAUAGUCCUAUUGAA
Micropterus salmoides (largemouth bass) is the source of this 1823-nucleotide long non-coding RNA. RefSeq lists it as uncharacterized. Lineage: Eukaryota; Metazoa; Chordata; Actinopteri; Centrarchiformes; Centrarchidae. The record is from RefSeq and is a predicted model, not a curated record. The transcript has 5 exons.